UCAUCGCUAUAAACUCCAAUAAACAUGUGUCGAACUUAUGUUGUCACUCGGACGCUUCCUUGUAAAACGUAUAUUGAAGUUAAGCGCUGUGAUGAUCUCGACCUCGACAUGAGUUUACUAACAACAGGCGAUAUUCCCGUACUUUAAUCUGAAUUAUUUGAAAUCGUGAACAUAAAAAGAAAACGUGAAUUGGUCGGUUCCUCGUCUGAAAAUACAUUCAUAUUAAACAAUAGGCGUAUGACAGACGAGGCCAAAACCUCUGGUCAGAUUACAUGUUUAUCGUUCGGUUCACCUAUGACCUCGUUUGUUUACCUUGCUCCCGAGAUGUGACGAGAGUGCUCCUCGAGCUCGUGCGAUCUAAAUGUGCACGAUGCAAGUAUUAAAUACUGUAAUAUUUAUCUUAAAAGUAUGACACAAUAGAAGUUUAUGAUUUAGAAUAAAAAACACGCACAAGUAAAAAUGAAUCGUGUUAAUCUCUGGCAGUAAAAUAUUUAUCCCAUGAUGCAACACACACGAGUUUAGCGGGAAGUCUGAUAGCCAUGUUUGAAUUCACCGGAUGUUUAUUUCCAGAAGAAAAGUAUAAACAAACACGACGAUAGCCUAAAAACGAAGUUUGUUUCCCGUCUUACUGAAGAAGAUCGGCUUACUUCAAGUUACCGACGAAAGCAUAUCAGCUUUCUCGUUGUUUUUGACGACUGAUGCAUAUUUUUACCGACAAACAUCGUUACGAGACAGGGGUUUUGAUGAUUAAUUUAUCACAGAUUAUACGGCUGAAGGAAACGCAGUACCGAUCCAUGUGUUACAAUCAGACUGAGUCUGCAUGCAGUACAUUCUGGAAUGAGGGACACCGCAUGCAUUGUGGUCCAAAUUGAUGGCAUUGACUUAACACAAAGCAGAAAGGAAUGAAGAAAAAUUAAGAAGUUUAUGUUUCACAUUAAUUAAGAUUAUUCGAGAUAUGUUAUCUGUCGAGGUAUACAACAUUUCCUUUCAUAAUAAAAGUGUAAACAUUAAUAUAUAUACAAAAAAAAAUCAUGUAUAUUAUCUAAAAAUCCUUGUUAGUUAUUUGUUGUACUAGCUAAAAAAUAUAAUAUAGUCGUCUCAAGCUUGGUUGUAUUGAAAUCCCCGGGGACAGUGACCGAGAUAUAUCACUACAGUACGUGCUACAUCAAACAACACACCAUUGUUCAAAUUGUCAAUCAACAUUUCAUUUAGUCGGUAUUUAGAAUUGAUUCCAAAAUUAUGAUAAUCUUUUCACAGUUUAUUAGAAAUAAUGUUAAAUUCGACAGAAGUCUUCGACUGUUGCUUGUUUUUGUUUAUUUUAAGUUCACGGACACACAUGAAAACAGUUUCCAGUACAUCUGGGCUACUUCGAGGAAACUACGUAUACUGUCUGAAAUCAGUCUUGUGCGUCGGUGACAAAAUGAAUACAUAUCCUACUUUAACUCUGCUGGAAAAUAUUAUUUUGUACUAUUUUCCUACUAUUUUAGAAAAAAAAACAGAAUUAUAAAUACAUACU
Long non-coding RNA from Pecten maximus, 1516 nucleotides. RefSeq lists it as uncharacterized. The record is from RefSeq and is a predicted model, not a curated record. Lineage: Eukaryota; Metazoa; Mollusca; Bivalvia; Pectinida; Pectinidae. The transcript is spliced from 3 exons.